GGGAUUGGCCGGCCAGAGAGUGAGGCGGGGCCGGGGGCGGGGCGAGGGCGGAGUCACGGGGCCGACUGGCCAGUGGGCGCCUGCGCGUAGGGUCGGCCACUCGGCGGGGCGCGUGCGCGGGCCGGCGCGGGACCGUGCGAGCCUUGGCGUCCCUCACAAGGCAUUCGCGUGUGCGCCUCCCUAGCGUGCGGAGGCGCCUGGAACCUUGGGAGUGGUGCAGUGUUGCACAGUUGCUACCACCCACGCAGUCCCUUAGCAGGUCUGGGUGGCGACACUGCCAGACCAGUGUGUGUCAGUGGCUCAAGUCAAGAUUGAUCAGAAUGUGUAAGCUCCGUGGUCUUUCAGGCAAAGUAGCGGCCUAAGGUCACGCUGGAGUUGCAUAUAGUGGACUAUAUGUGGCCUCCGGGGCGCCAGUGUCGUCACUUGCUCUCUCCUGCAGGAUACGUGCAUCGCGGCCUCCUCGCCUCUCACGAAAGUAAGCAUUGUUUCAGUCUUUGAUUUCAGGCUUUUGCUCUGUUCCCGACUCGGGUCCGUGGCGUCGGUGUGCUGGCCAGCCACGAGGACCACGAAAGUCAGCAGUCUUUUUGGGGGGGUGGGGGGAGGGGGGGAGGGGAAAGUAGCGCCGGUGCGCAGUGGUUAUUGCGCAGGUCCGUAACACCCCCUAGUGAGCUCUCAUUGGUUCUGCCAGACUCUGCUUGUUAAUUGGUAGUAAUUUUUGGAAAUUAAACAAGUGGAGAGGAUCGGGCCGGCCUGGGCCACCUUCGGCAACCCCGCGUCGGCCAUUUUGUACGGUGAGGAAGGCAGGUGAUGGCGGUGGCAGCGGCGGUGUAGGCCUGUGCUCAGCCCCACGCCCUUAGCCGCCACAUCCGCCCACGGCCCACCACGAGGCGCCCACGCAAGCCUCAGUCCACCUGCACACCCUGGAUUUAUGAACUUCGUACUCGUUCAACUUCAUGGUUGUUAAAAAAAAAAAAAAAAAAAAAAAAAAAAUACAUAUUUGUAAACAUCUACAAUAUUGUGAAGAGAGAAAAAGUACAUAUGUUAUAUCCACCUCACAAUCUGAAAAAAGCAACAACGAUAUCCCAAAGUCCAGAAACUACUUGUGCAAUAUUGCUUGUUGAAAGCACUCAAUCACAGAGGGUGACUAAGUGAGGAACGGGGGCGAAGGGGGUAAGGUGGGGGAACGGGGAGAGGUGUCAUAGCCAAGCAAUCGUUUUCGUGCAAAUUGCAAUAUCAUUGCAGACUUUAUCGCUGUAAGAGCUUGAGAUAACCAAGUUCCUCAGUUCGUUGUAUGUGUGAUUUUUAUUUUUUUGCUCUCUUAUGAAUUUGUUGUUUUGGAAUUGAUGUCGUCUAUGAUUGCAUUUGAAUUGAUCUGUUUUCAUAAAAAAAAAAAAAGUUUCUUGAAAAUAACUGACAGGAAUCGUGAGGCAAAGUUUCUCUCUCUCUCUCUCUCUCUCUCUCUCUCUCUCUCUCUCUCUCUCUCUCAGAGUCUUUCUAUCUUUCUGUGUCCCCUUCCUCGCCUCGGCAACACGAGAAAGAGCGAAUAUAACAGAGAGAAGGAGAGUGCGUGUGGUCAGUCCUCCGAGUGAACAGCGGGCUUGCAACACCACGGCGCCAGAGGAAGGACGGAAGGAAGGGCGAGGGCGUAAAUAAUGAAGUCCUUCGGAAGAACAGAGGAGAGACAAACGCACAAACGUCGGUUCUGUUCCAAGACUUUUUUUGUGUUUUCAUCUCUGUGGCUGUUCAUUUUCCUUCUGUGCUUUCUUUUCGUCUCUCUGUCUCUCUCUCUCUCCGUUUCCUCUUCUCCCUCGCCUCGUAUGCGUUGAGAGAGCGACAGACCCCGACCACCCACCCGAAGACGGCGUUCGGGAAGCCCUCUCGUCGCGCGCUCUCUCUCUCCCGCCGCCGCUGAGCGAUGUUCCGGCAGCGCUAUUGCCGUCGUCGUCCGUAGCGGAGCGGGGAGAGCGAGAGAGGGAGAGAGGGAGAGCGAGAGAGAGAGAGAGAGAGUGAAAGAAGGGCAGGCGGGAGAUCGUGGCUUCAGUCUGCCGCAAAGUCCCGUGGAGUCUCGACGGAUGUGAGUGAGGAGAGGCGGCGUGCGCUGCGCAGGUGUCGUCGGGCCGCGGCGGUGGCGGUGGCGGCGGCGGCGGCGGCGGCGGCGGCGGGGAUGAUAGACAGCGCUCCGCCACCGAGCCCACGCGAUACACUGUCAAAUUCUCUCUCUCUCUCCGUGCAAUCGCGUCGUCGGCCGCGCCGGGUCCUCGCCGACGGCCGUGGCUGCAACUCGGCUCAGGGCCAGCCAGGGACCUGCCUUCGCCGCCGCCGCCGCCGCCGCCUCCCUCCGCCGGUGUCUGCUACUGCUGCUGCGGAUACUCCUGCUGCUGCUGCUGCUGCUGGACUCCUCCUCCGGCCGCGGGCGUGGAGACGCAUCCCUUCGGAAGCAGUCAGACACCGCCCAGUUCUCGCUGGUGCCUCGUGUGCGUGCAACAUAGUCACCAGGAACAUCGCCCCUCGCACACACUCACUCACACACUCACUCUCUCUCGCAACCUCGCCCAGUGGCUUCGGAACCCCGCGCCUUCCGAGCCAGCGCUAGUUCCGUCGUAGCGCCGCACGCUCUUCCCUUCCGAUUCGGGAAACACUCGAAUACGGCGCUUCGACUUUUGAAAAGGAAAAUGUGAGAUGGAGAACGACGGAGAGGAAGAGAAAGAGAAGAGAAGAGAGAGAGAGAAAAAGGAAGAUAUUCGAGGUGGAUCCGCGUUGAUUUUUGAAAAAGGAACCCCCCGCCCACCCCGCCCAACCCGCCCACCCCGCCCGCAGUGCCCGGAGCGAGGUGCGUGGAUGACGCCCGUUAUCUCCCUUGACAGCCUCGCCGAGACCAUAGAGAGACAGAAAGGAGAGGAUAAGUAAGAGAGAGAGAGAGAGAGAGAGAGAGAGAGAGAGAGAGAGAGAGAGAGA
RNAcentral lists this long non-coding RNA (2955 nucleotides) under Penaeus japonicus. RNAcentral describes it as "uncharacterized LOC122254838". The record is from RNAcentral. Lineage: Eukaryota; Metazoa; Arthropoda; Malacostraca; Decapoda; Penaeidae.